RNAcentral lists this ribosomal RNA (405 nucleotides) under uncultured bacterium. RNAcentral describes it as "partial 16S ribosomal RNA". It matches the Rfam family "Bacterial small subunit ribosomal RNA", at positions 30 to 526 of the family's 1533-position model. The record is from RNAcentral.
AUUGAACGCUAGCGGGAUGCUUUACACAUGCAAGUCGAACGCGUGGCGGACGGGUGAAUAAUAUAUCGGAACGUGCCCAAUAGCGGGGGAUAAGUACUCGAAAAAGUGGCUAAUACCGCUUACUAUUGGAGCGGCCGAUAUCGGAUGAGCUAGCUGGUGGGGUAAAGGCUCACCAAGGCACCGAUCCGUAGCUGGUUUGAGAGGACGACCAGCCACACUGUGACUGAGACACGGCCCAGACUCCUACGGGCGGCAGCAGUGGGGAAUUUUGGACAAUGGGGGAAACCCUGAUCCAGCCAUCCCGCGUGUAUGAGAAGGCCUUCGGGUUGUAAAGUACUUUUGGCAGAGAAGCGGUAUCUGCAGAAUACGCACCGGCUAACUACGUGCCAGCCGCCGCGGUAAUAC